AGGGAAUCUUGCGCAAUGGGCGAAAGCCUGACGCAGCAAUGCCGCGUGCGGGACGAAGGCCCUAGGGUCGUAAACCGCUUUCAGUAGGGACGAAAAUGACGGUACCUGCAGAAGAAGCUCCGGCCAACUACGUGCCAGCAGCCGCGGUGAUACGUAGGGAGCAAGCGUUGUCCGGAAUUACUGGGCGUAAAGGGCUCGUAGGUGGUUGAGUAAGUCAGAUGUGAAAUCUCAGGGCCCAACCCUGAGCGUGCAUUUGAUACUGCUCUGACUAGAGUCCGGUAGGGGAGUGCGGAAUUCCUGGUGUAGCGGUGAAAUGCGCAGAUAUCAGGAGGAACACCGACAGCGAAGGCAGCACUCUGGGCCGGUACUGACACUGAGGAGCGAAAGCAUGGGUAGCAAAC
This 401-nucleotide ribosomal RNA is filed under the name uncultured bacterium. RNAcentral describes it as "bacterial SSU rRNA". It matches the Rfam family "Bacterial small subunit ribosomal RNA", at positions 356 to 773 of the family's 1533-position model. The record is from RNAcentral.